Aedes aegypti (yellow fever mosquito) is the source of this 73-nucleotide non-coding RNA. NCBI's taxonomy places the organism in Eukaryota, Metazoa, Arthropoda, Insecta, Diptera, Culicidae. The record is from Rfam.
GGGUCUGUAGCCUUGAGGUUACGCUUUCGCUUCAUAAGCGGAAGGUCAUGGGUUCGAUUCCCAGCCACUCCCA